UGAUACGAAGGGCACUGUCUGAGAGUUU
RNAcentral lists this non-coding RNA (28 nucleotides) under Mus musculus (house mouse). The record is from RNAcentral. Lineage: Eukaryota; Metazoa; Chordata; Mammalia; Rodentia; Muridae.